UACGUAGGUGGCGAGCGUUGUCCGGAUUUACUGGGCGUAAAGGGAGCGUAGGCGGACUUUUAAGUGAGAUGUGAAAUACCCGGGCUCAACUUGGGUGCUGCAUUUCAAACUGGAAGUCUAGAGUGCAGGAGAGGAGAAUGGAAUUCCUAGUGUAGCGGUGAAAUGCGUAGAUAUUAGGAGGAACACCAGUGGCGAAGGCGGCUUUCUGGACAAUAACUGACGUUGAGGCACGAAAGUGUGGGGAGCAAACAGGAUUAGAUACCCCGGUAGUCCCU
RNAcentral lists this ribosomal RNA (275 nucleotides) under uncultured prokaryote. RNAcentral's name for it is "partial 16S ribosomal RNA". It matches the Rfam family "Bacterial small subunit ribosomal RNA", at positions 524 to 798 of the family's 1533-position model. The record is from RNAcentral.